AGUUUGCGUGCUGCAUUUGUCAGCACAGCCAUUUUGAGCAUUAAUAAAUUACAAUUCUCUGAGAGAUUAUACUUGGCCAAGUCCUCGCCCAGUUCGACGGCCUGAAGAGGCCAUUUUGCCAUGGCCAUCCAUGGCCACGAAGUCCUGGGCACCAAAGUGGAUGGAUGGCCACCAAAAGGCCGGGACACAAUGCAUCCAGUGUCGGGCCAUCGCAUUCACUUUGCGGCACUGCCGAGCGUUUGUGUCGCCGCUGCAUUAUUCUGUCAGCGGGCCACUAUUCUCAGUCAAGAUUGUUGACAUCUAUGCGCCUUGUUUGCCACAUUGUCCUUGUUUGGGCCCGGUGGACUGGUGUGUUGGGAGUCAAGAGGUCCUGUCAGAGCGGCUUACACUCGGAGCGCCUGGGAUUGCAGCGCCAAGGAGCUGAAUGCUAAAAGUUAAGUGGUAAAUUGGUUAUUGUGUUGCAUUAAUGGACGGACACUGCACCAGAGAACCGACCGCAACCAGCCGCUGGCAUUCACUUAGCUUCUGGUUUGGGUUUCAGUCUUGAAAGUGGUUUCGUUCCUGGUCCUGACUCCAUGAUUCUGCCCGCCGGCGUUCCCUGUUGAAUCUUUUAAUUAAGGACGAAUUCCUUGAAGCAUCGCAGACUUUACUUUGUCCUCGGGGCAAGCGAAAGUUUUUCAAUUAUUUUGCCAUGACUAGAUUUCAGCUUGCCACCCACCAUGAAAGAAAAGAGUGCAGCGUUUCUGUGGAUGCGACAAGUAUUAAUGACGAUGGAGCUGAUGAAAAGUUGAUCUGUUGAAAAGCUUUUGGCGAUUUGAAUUUCCACACUGAAGCUGACACGUUUCCGAGAAGAAUAUUGUGGCUGGCCAAGGAAUUUUGUGCAUUAGACUGGGUCCAUUCAUCAUUCUGUACGAAAUUGCAUUUUAAUUGAAUUUUAUGGUUUGUUAAAUGACCAACGGGUAAAUAUAUAUUGGCAGCU
Molecule: non-coding RNA, 979 nt
Organism: Drosophila melanogaster (fruit fly)
Lineage: Eukaryota; Metazoa; Arthropoda; Insecta; Diptera; Drosophilidae
Source: Ensembl